GCGAGGGUGGCGGAAUUGGUAGACGCACUGGCCUUAGGAGCCAGCGGCUUAUGGCCGUAGGGGUUCGAGUCCCCUCUCUCGCACCA
RNAcentral lists this transfer RNA (86 nucleotides) under Deltaproteobacteria bacterium. RNAcentral describes it as "tRNA-Leu". It matches the Rfam family "tRNA". From Rfam's summary of the family: Transfer RNA (tRNA) molecules are approximately 80 nucleotides in length. Their secondary structure includes four short double-helical elements and three loops (D, anti-codon, and T loops). Further hydrogen bonds mediate the characteristic L-shaped molecular structure. tRNAs have two regions of fundamental functional importance: the anti-codon, which is responsible for specific mRNA codon recognition, and the 3' end, to which the tRNAs corresponding amino acid is attached (by aminoacyl-tRNA synthetases). tRNAs cope with the degeneracy of the genetic code in two manners: having more than one tRNA (with a specific anti-codon) for a particular amino acid; and 'wobble' base-pairing, i.e. permitting non-standard base-pairing at the 3rd anti-codon position. Lineage: Bacteria; Pseudomonadati; Myxococcota; Myxococcia. RNAcentral also lists the same sequence under 1 other name. The record is from RNAcentral.